AUGCAAAUGAGCUCGCUCCGUUGAUAUCGGUCCGAUUACAUCUGAUAUCGGUCCGUUCCCAUCGAAAGUUCUUGCACGAACUCCGCAAAAACUGCUACACCCCUUGAACUGAGCUUCGGUAGUUCGGUUCCUCUGGGGUUGCGAUUGUGUGGAAAGGUCUCGAAUCUUCGUUUGCUCGCUUCCUUCGCUCCGAAUUUGCGACGUGUCUUCUCUCAAUGGGCCUUGCUCAACGAGGCCAUUUUCUUUGCUAACGCUUCGCUCUCUUUGUUUGUCUUUUCAAAGACUUUUUCUAGCGCUUUCCUGGAUGUUUUGAAAACGUCGAUUGUCAUCCAGUCAGUAGUUGUUGAUUGAAAACCUUGACCUUUGAUUCUAAAGCGAAUAUCCCUUUUCAUCCCCAACUUUUUUGAGAGAGAUCGAGUACCUUUUCAAAGGAUUUUUCAAAACAUUUCCUCCCUCUCUUUGAUGGGUAAAAUACUGGCUUUCGCGUUCGCGUUUCUAAAGGUUCUUUCUCUCUCUUUUCUCUUGCUCUCUACAAAAGGUUUCAAAACUUCUUCCUCCAGCAACCCUUCAAUUUGAACGGAGGCUUUUCAAAUCCGUUUUGCUUUCCACAAAGAAGCUACUUUGUGCCGAUAAUUUCGGUGAUUUGGAAUUGGAUGAUAAACCUACGUGCACUGCAGCUUGGCAUUCCUUUUCGAACUCGAAGCAGUUGUCGACGGUCGUGUUCUGUGCUACAGUGCUACAGCUACAGCUACAGUAGCUACGUUUACCCGCUGCUGCCCGUUUUUUGGUUUGCGAUGGCUGCUGGCUGUUCCCCUUCUUCACUGGUAUCAGAAUCGAUGUCAUGCGAAUACAAAUAAACGAUCGGAUUCGCUGACUUUUUGGUACAACAAGUGAGUAUUUUUCGAUUAAAAUUUCACUUUUUCUACGAUUUCCCGCUGUGAUAAAUGGGAUUUGCCUGCCCCUUGAGUGAAAAUUAUUUCUAGCUUUUUGAGAGCAUUUUGGGAAUUGUAAAUAAAUCAUUCUGGAAACCAUUUCAAAUGAUUUUAUGCUUAAUUUGAUGAAAUUACACUAAAAGCCGGUUGCUUACUGCUAGACCCCCGCCGUGAAUGACGAAUUUCUACCUCAUUUCGUGGUUUUGUACUGAAAGGAAGCUGGAUUGUUACGGUAGAUUGUGCCUGCAUCAUUCUCGGAAUUGUAAAUUAAUCAUUCUAGAAACCAUUUUAAAUGACUUUCUGCUUAUUUGAGUGAAAUUACACUAAAAACCGGUUGCUGAAAGGAGUCGCUACAAUCCUUGACAAAAGUCCUUGGAACACCCUGUGACCAAUGAAAGAUUUUGAAGAAAUAAAGGUUUCCGGCUGUAAGAUACAGAUAUAUCCCCCCUCCCCCCAAAAACAAUGUUGGCUGAAAAGACUAUUACUUACCCUAGCUGAUAAACUGACAUUGGACGAAUUUCAAGCUUUGAAACUGUUGUUAUUCAACAUUGUUUCAAGGGGGAGAGGGGGAUGCUACUGAAUUUAUGCGAAAUUUUAGCUUGGUGUACCAAGACUUUUGGCAAGGAUUGUCUGAGCGCUUUUUUUUAAACCGUUAGUUGCAUGAAAAUCAAUGUUAUGGGGGUAGGGGUUCUUGGUAGCGCUGAUUUCAUUGGCGUCGAAAAAAAUUUGAUAUUUAAAAUGGAAUUGGCCUAAUUUAGCUAUUUUUCGAAUUUUAGAGAUAUUAUGAUUAUUAUUCACUUGUUUA
This is a non-coding RNA of Rhopilema esculentum, 1737 nucleotides long. NCBI's taxonomy places the organism in Eukaryota, Metazoa, Cnidaria, Scyphozoa, Rhizostomeae, Rhizostomatidae. The record is from RefSeq and is a predicted model, not a curated record.